This 227-nucleotide ribosomal RNA is filed under the name uncultured bacterium. RNAcentral's name for it is "partial 16S ribosomal RNA". It matches the Rfam family "Bacterial small subunit ribosomal RNA", at positions 109 to 334 of the family's 1533-position model. The record is from RNAcentral.
AGUAACGCGUGAGGAACCUGCCUCAAAGAGGGGGACAACAGUUGGAAACGACUGCUAAUACCGCAUAAGCCCACAGCUCGGCAUCGAGCAGAGGGAAAAGGAGUGAUCCGCUUUGAGAUGACCUCGCGUCCGAUUAGCUAGUUGGUGAGGUAAUGGCCCACCAAGGCGACGAUCGGUAGCCGGACUGAGAGGUUGAACGGCCACAUUGGGACUGAGACACGGCCCAG